Molecule: transfer RNA, 60 nt
Filed under: Citrobacter freundii
Lineage: Bacteria; Pseudomonadati; Pseudomonadota; Gammaproteobacteria; Enterobacterales; Enterobacteriaceae
Also listed under: 2 other names
Description: tRNA-Met
Rfam family: tRNA
About the family: Transfer RNA (tRNA) molecules are approximately 80 nucleotides in length. Their secondary structure includes four short double-helical elements and three loops (D, anti-codon, and T loops).
Source: RNAcentral
CGUAGCUCAGCUGGUUAGAGCACAUCACUCAUAAUGAUGGGGUCACAGGUUCGAAUCCCG